UACGGAGGGUGCGAGCGUUGUCCGGAAUCACUGGGCGUAAAGGGCGCGUCGGUGGCUUCUCAAGCGCGCGGUGAAAGCCCGGGGCUCAACCCCGGGUCGGCCGUGCGGACUGGGAGGCUCGAGCACUGUAGGGGCGGGUGGAAUUCCGGGUGUAGCGGUGGAAUGCGUAGAUAUCGAGAGGAACACCUGCGGCGAAGGCGGGUUGCUGGGCCGACACUGACGCUGAUGCGCGAAAGCCAGGGGAGCAAACGGG
Molecule: ribosomal RNA, 253 nt
Filed under: uncultured bacterium
Lineage: Bacteria
Description: partial 16S ribosomal RNA
Rfam family: Bacterial small subunit ribosomal RNA
Source: RNAcentral